This 435-nucleotide ribosomal RNA is filed under the name Triticum aestivum (bread wheat). RNAcentral's name for it is "partial small subunit ribosomal RNA". Lineage: Eukaryota; Viridiplantae; Streptophyta; Magnoliopsida; Poales; Poaceae. The record is from RNAcentral.
AUGACUAGGGACAAUCUCAAGAAGAGAAACUUGAAAAGGCCUAAAGAUUGUGAGUACUGUUCAUGUAAAUAAUCUAUACAACAUCUUUUCUUUGAUUGCAUUGUAGCCAAACAAAUCUCAAAUGUGAUCAAAUUGUUAUUUGGUAGAGAUUUAGGGGUGGAUUUCUCUUAUGUUGCUUCUCUCUGGGCAAUAGGGAAGAAACAAGAUGCACUAAACGCUGUUAAUGUUGUUGCUCUCUGGGUUCUAUGGAAACACAGAAAUAGCAUGAUUUUUGGUGCUCCCUGGAUUUCUCCUAACCAUAUUUGGUGGCUAGUCUUAAGACUAAUAAGAAAAUGGGAGGUCAUAUUCAAGGACCAUAUGACUUCCCUGAUGAAAGAUUUGUGUCUUCAUGUUCAGCAAAUGAUCCUACCCCGUUUCCAGCUGGAGUGGGGGUAG